RNAcentral lists this long non-coding RNA (927 nucleotides) under Sorghum bicolor (sorghum). RNAcentral describes it as "long non-coding RNA (SBIC_LNC009001)". The record is from RNAcentral. Lineage: Eukaryota; Viridiplantae; Streptophyta; Magnoliopsida; Poales; Poaceae.
CAACGUAAAGUUUUAAAAGUUUCUAAUUUUUAUAAAGAAACUAAAGUAACAAAUAACCUAAAAUUCUCUAUUUCUGGUUUUUCUAAACCAACAAAAUUAAAAAGACAUAAAAGUUCUCUAUUUUCUAACUAAUCAUGAAAUGUGGUAUACAUACUAGUUAUAAUUAACUAAUUAACUAUGUCAUAAAGUGCAAAUUAAAGAAAUAUAAGUUUCUAAUUUUUAAUAGAGAAAUUAAAGUAACAAAAAACCUAAAAUUCUCUAUUUCUAAUUUUUCUAAACAACCAAAAUUAAAAAAGCACAAAAGUUAUCUAUAUUUCUAACUAAUCAUGAAAUGUGGUAUGCAUAUUAGUUAUAAUUAACUAAUUAACAUUGUCAUAAAUUGCAAAUUAAAGUAUUAUAAGUUUCUAAUUUUUAAUAGAGAAAUUAAAGUAACAAAAAACCUAAAAUCCUCUAUUUUUAAAUUUUCUAAACAAGCAAAAUUAAAAAAAGCACAAAAAUUCUCUAUUUUUCUAAAUAAUCAUAAAAUGUGGUAUGCAUACUAGUUAUAAUUAACUAACUAAAUCGGUCAAAAAUUGCAAAUUAAAGUAUUAUAUGUUUUUAAUUUUUUAAACUAAUUAAAAUAAAAAAAAUAUUACCACUAUUUCUCUAAAAAACGCGUCGCUUUUGAAAUGGCCAUGAAGCUAAUAACCUCUUAAAAAACCAUAAAAUAAAAAACAAUAUACAUAACACUAGAAAAUGACAUAUGCCGCUUCUAAAUGUUGAGAAGAUGAAGCUAGUGACCUCUUAACAAGUCGAUGACGAUGUAGAAAUGAUGAAAUGAAUCAAUAGCCGGAGAUGAGAGCAAGAACAAACAACUCCAAAGAAGAACACAGCAAAAGAGUGAAGAUCGAUGGGCUCGGCCACGGGAAGAAGAGUUUAAAUAUGGGG